UACGUAGGUGGCAAGCGUUGUCCGGAAUCAUUGGGCGUAAAGGGCGCGUAGGUGGCGGGACAAGCGUGCGGUGAAAGCUCGGGGCUCAACCCCGAGUCGGCCGUGCGAACUGUUUUGCUGGAGCACUGUAGAGGCAGGCGGAAUUCCGGGUGUAGCGGUGGAAUGCGUAGAGAUCCGGAAGAACACCGGUGGCGAAGGCGGCCUGCUGGGCAGUUGCUGACACUGAGGCGCGACAGCGUGGGGAGCAAACAGG
This 253-nucleotide ribosomal RNA is filed under the name uncultured bacterium. RNAcentral's name for it is "partial 16S ribosomal RNA". It matches the Rfam family "Bacterial small subunit ribosomal RNA", at positions 524 to 776 of the family's 1533-position model. The record is from RNAcentral.